This 480-nucleotide ribosomal RNA is filed under the name uncultured anaerobic ammonium-oxidizing bacterium. RNAcentral's name for it is "bacterial SSU rRNA". It matches the Rfam family "Bacterial small subunit ribosomal RNA", at positions 363 to 833 of the family's 1533-position model. The record is from RNAcentral.
UUUUCGCAAUGCCCGAAAGGGUGACGAAGCGACGCCGCGUGGGUGAGGAAGGCCUUCGGGUUGUAAAGCCCUGUCAGGAGUUAAGAAAUGUAAGUGCGCUAAUAUCGCAUUUAUUUGACGAAGGCUCCAAAGGAAGUCACGGCUAACUCUGUGCCAGCAGCCGCGGUAAUACAGAGGUGGCAAGCGUUGUUCGGAAUUAUUGGGCGUAAAGAGCACGUAGGUGGGUUUGUAAGUCAGAUGUGAAAGCCUUCUGUUCAACGGAAGAAUUGCAUCUGAAACUGCGAGUCUUGAGUGUAGGAGGGGAGAAUGGAACUUCUGGUGGAGCGGUGAAAUGCGUAGAUAUCAGAAGGAACGCCGGCGGCGAAAGCGAUUCUCUGGCCUAUUACUGACACUCAGUGUGCGAAAGCUAGGGGAGCAAACGGGAUUAGAUACCCCGGUAGUCCUAGCCGCAAACGAUGGGCACUAAGUAGAGGGGUUUUA